GGAAGAAGAGAAUUUCAAGAAAGAGGGAGAACGAGAAAAAAGAAGAAACAAUGAGAGAGUGGAAAGGAAGAAGAAGGAAACAGAAGAAGAAGAACGAAGGGAAGAAAGACUUUAACGAGAGAGUUCCAAGAAAAGACAGAAGGAGAAGGGAAAGAAGAACUGAAGAAGAAACUUGGAAUUUGGGAAGGUAGCCUCUGAUUUGAACUUGCUUGUGACUCCAACAAUUUCAUUUGGAAGCAAAGCCCAUCCUCG
RNAcentral lists this unclassified non-coding RNA (252 nucleotides) under Hevea brasiliensis (rubber tree). The record is from RNAcentral. Lineage: Eukaryota; Viridiplantae; Streptophyta; Magnoliopsida; Malpighiales; Euphorbiaceae.